RNAcentral lists this ribosomal RNA (478 nucleotides) under Bacillus anthracis (anthrax bacterium). Its description in RNAcentral is "bacterial SSU rRNA". It matches the Rfam family "Bacterial small subunit ribosomal RNA", at positions 1061 to 1533 of the family's 1533-position model. The record is from RNAcentral. Lineage: Bacteria; Bacillati; Bacillota; Bacilli; Caryophanales; Bacillaceae.
CGUGUCGUGAGAUGUUGGGUUAAGUCCCGCAACGAGCGCAACCCUUGAUCUUAGUUACCAUCAUUAAGUUGGGCACUCUAAGGUGACUGCCGGUGACAAACCGGAGGAAGGUGGGGAUGACGUCAAAUCAUCAUGCCCCUUAUGACCUGGGCUACACACGUGCUACAAUGGACGGUACAAAGAGCUGCAAGACCGCGAGGUGGAGCUAAUCUCAUAAAACCGUUCUCAGUUCGGAUUGUAGGCUGCAACUCGCCUACAUGAAGCUGGAAUCGCUAGUAAUCGCGGAUCAGCAUGCCGCGGUGAAUACGUUCCCGGGCCUUGUACACACCGCCCGUCACACCACGAGAGUUUGUAACACCCGAAGUCGGUGGGGUAACCUUUUGGAGCCAGCCGCCUAAGGUGGGACAGAUGAUUGGGGUGAAGUCGUAACAAGGUAGCCGUAUCGGAAGGUGCGGCUGGAUCACCUCCUUUCUAUGGA